UCAACUGUUCAAUAAUCACAAGCACCCGGUGGCUACCAUUUGAACAGCAUAGUUCCGGUUGGGAGUCCCAUAGAGUCACAUUCUUUUAUGUUCCCCAGUCAUUCUAGAGACACCUGCUUCAAGUGUACAGUUGCCUAGAUAUCCUGCAACUUGCUCCAUGCACCUCGGCCACAUACUCCAGGCUGCUGACUGGCUGACGGGUGAGUCAUUAUAGACAGCACCAGCAGUGAACGAGUCUGUCAGCAUGUGUGCAAGAACCAAGCCACUGUUUCCAGAGUGAAAAGGCCCUCCUCAGAGUCCACUCAUGGACUGUCUCCAGGGCCUCCCCAUGCUCCCAUCCUCAGCUCGACAGACCCGGAGAAGGCUCUCACAACACCGGUGCAGACAUACGGGGGCAAUUUCCCAUCUCGCAGGGGCACUGCCUCUGGGACUGAGCUGAAACCACAAAGCUGGGGUGGGAAAAGCAGGCUCAGAGAAGACACUACUUACCUAAAAUCUCAUAGGGAAUUGAUUCCUACAACGAUCUUAUUUUACCAACACAGUCCUGGAGGAAGAGAGGUUGAAGCAGGGAAUCAGUACAGAGAAGAACAAGGUCCAAAAUCCAAUCUGUCCUUGCCCCGCCUGGAGGAUGACAUAGAUUGUAUGAGCAGAUUAAUUGACACUUUUGUAUUCCCAGCCUCUUUG
Molecule: long non-coding RNA, 684 nt
Organism: Suricata suricatta (meerkat)
Lineage: Eukaryota; Metazoa; Chordata; Mammalia; Carnivora; Herpestidae
Exons: 4
Source: RefSeq, a predicted model, not a curated record